AGUCUUUACCCUUCUAAAAAGAUCUAGUGCGCAAUUGUGCGCAGUAGUAUUUCGAUGCAAUGAAAUUUGCAUCAUCUUUUCUUGUAAAUUGCAAUAAAUCAAUAAAAAGAUAAUGCAAAUUUUAUUAGUAGUGCCUCAAAAUACUACUGCGCACAAGUAUUGCUGCAAGUUUCAACAUACAAAUACACAAAUAUUUUGAGUUAUGAAGAAUGCACUUAGUGAUAACUACUUCAAACUGUAUUCAUUCUGUACAUUUUGUUAGUGUUGCAAAGUUUAAAUUAACGAUCCGGGCAAUCAAUAAAUACGCCUGGUACGCAGAACAAUAGCCGGGUAUGGGUAUGAAAUCGUUGCAAUCUGAUGGUCGAAUGAACCACAUGGGCAAGAUUCAAACAAUGCACGUUAACUCAAAUGAA
Solenopsis invicta (red fire ant) is the source of this 413-nucleotide long non-coding RNA. RefSeq lists it as uncharacterized. The record is from RefSeq and is a predicted model, not a curated record. Lineage: Eukaryota; Metazoa; Arthropoda; Insecta; Hymenoptera; Formicidae. The transcript has 2 exons.